This is a long non-coding RNA of Chelonia mydas (Green sea turtle), 2965 nucleotides long. RefSeq lists it as uncharacterized. The transcript has 3 exons. NCBI's taxonomy places the organism in Eukaryota, Metazoa, Chordata, Testudines, Cheloniidae. The record is from RefSeq and is a predicted model, not a curated record.
AAGAGAGGUCAAGCUGCCAGUAGGCUAGGUGCAGGAAGACAGUGAGCCUCACCAGGUGGGGAGGCUGCAUUCCCUCCCAGAAGGGAAGAAAAACAAGCUCAGGAGACUAGCUGAGGGAAGGAAUGGACUUCCCCUGUGCAUCCUAGAAGGACUGUUUACCCAAGCCUGUCUCACCAAGGCUAAAAACAGCUGAGGCUGGUGAGACAGAGAAGAAGCCCUGGGAGCAUGUCUGGAAGUUGUGAGGAUGGCUGCUGUCCAUGGAAUCAUACCUCCCUUCAAAUCCACAUGUGUUUGCUGAGUAAGAUAAUGCUGAACUCUAAUGGACAAAAUAACUCUCUGGAGAAGCCAUGCUGGCAUUGCAAGGAGGCUGUCAGUGCAGAAGUAAGAGGUCUCUCAAGUGUACUGAGACUGUUCCUGCUUUGAUUUGAAUUUUGUUUGAAAGCACUUCUUCAAGGCAGAGUGGGUCAUUGUGGGGAAACUUAUUAAGAGUGAAAGGCCAGCAUGUUUCCUUGUGGGAGUCCUCAAUUUCCGAGAACACUUUACACAUAAUUCCCAAGCCAAGGAGACAAUCCUUUGAUGGAGGAAAGGAGAUGUCUCCAACUGCUGAAACUCUUAGGGCCCACCCCUGAAGGCCAGUCUUUGAUAUCUGCUUUUACUCUUCCUCUAUGCUGAAAAAGGGAAUGAUCAAAAAUGGAAACAUUGUAAAUAAAACUAAGAAUAGGAAUACUACCACUGUGUCUAGGUACUAGUCAAUUUAUCACACUGACAUUAGAACCACUGCGCGUAGCUGUGAGUAUACUACAACUGCAACUGUUGAUAGGACAUCCAUUGUACCUUGGGAGAAUUCUAUUGCCCUUCCAAGAACUUCCUUUAAACAAGAUGUGAUUAUUUUAGGGAAAAACUCUAAAACAGCCAAUUCUCUCUCCAGUACUUUCAUUGAAGAGGGAGGAAAAAUUGAACGGCGCUGAUGACAUAGAAUGGAGAGAUGAAAUACACAACUCCAACAAGACUCCCCGAAGAAAUCCAUAACCAAUGGUGCAGGUGCCUGAGCUCUAACUUUUUUCAGCUGCCUUCUUGAUAAAGGAUAAUAUUUUCUUUGUUAUCUAUUAGUAGAUACUGAACUUCAGCAAAGUUCUUGUAAAAGGGUGGCUUGAAUGUAGUCUGGAGCUCCUGGGGCUAAAACAGCCCUGAUUACAGCAGCAUUGAAUCAUAGUCCCAGGAUUAAAAAGGAAGCCCAGGAGACUGCAGCUAUGGCUGUAGAUACAGCAGGGAGCAAGAAGGCUCCUGCAGGACCUGAAAAGCCAGCAGGAGACAGAUCUCUUGGCAAGGGGACUUGGAGAGGACUGUGGAGAAAGUCAAACACCCAGCAGAAGGUACAGGGAAGCACAGACCCUCAGGACGGAGGGGCUGUACCCAGCUAAAACUGGGAUAAUGGUUGAGAACUUGUUUUAUUUUCAAAGACUGUUUUUUGACUACUGUGCAAGUGGCACUGAACCAGGGUUGGGGCCUUGAGGGUUUGGGUGUACCUAGUGGAUUAAAUAAAUGGAACCCUUGUGGGGAUUGUUUCAAUUGAGUUCUUAAAGGGCCCUGAAGAUUUUGGGGGAGGGUGCAAAGCUCAGCAUUGCAACUUGAUGAACCAGCAGGUUCUCUCUAAAGCAUACUCUGGAACAGCUUUUUAAAGCCAAGCUCGUUUGGCCCUGCUGACUGGAAACCAAUAUUGGUGACACAACUUUGAACUUCUAUAAUGCCUAGAAGCCAAGAAUCUCUCAUGCUUCACCAAUGUUUAAUGGAUUAAACCUAAUACCUCUUUGAAGUGGAGAACUCUUAUCCUCUUAAAGAUGAAGAAACCUUAUCUGCACUAGAACUAUGGCCAUGAAGCUUACAUCACCAGGGUAAGGAGAUACAGUGGAGGAUAUGGGUAAGAAAAAUGAAAUGUAAUUUAUUUACAGCAGUGGCCCGAUCGGGCAGCCUCUGUAGUUGCUGAGGUCUGCAACAGAUGUUCUCAGUCAUUCCUGGAUCCAAGUAGCAGGGGCAAAGGUUGUAAAUAGAAACUGAGAUAAAGGAUCUAAUAUAAUGGUGGUUCAUCACUCACCCAGAUGUAAGUGCAGCACACAGGUCAGGCAGCAACAAGCGGAGUGAAGAAAGAGAAGGGAGGAACCGCUGGACAGAAGAGAUGGGGAGCUUAUACAUACACAUGUCAUGGUCACCACAAAAUAUGAAAAAGUAAAGAGCAAAACUUUCUCCUAGGGCAUAGCUAACUCUUUUGCUCUGUACUCUGCUCUGGGGAAGGGCUUUGCUGUAGAAGCACCAGAAAUGGACCCAACCAGUGAAGUUCAGCUCCAAGCUUUCCAAAAGUUCAGUGGGAUUUGAAUUCUUAUUUCCUGUAUAGGCCCUUCUCUAACAGUGCUGCUUCCAAUUACCACUUCUGUUUCUUUCUCUACCUCUCAUAUUGCCUGUCAGAGAAAGAGAAGAGAACUUGGCCUGCUCUAGUGAUACCACAAUGGUGAGACAGAUCCACCAUUAUGAGGUGGAGAAUAGUUACUAGGGCAACAAGAUUUGCUUCAUUUCUACUAUAAAUGGCAGCUGUCUAUUACUAGAUAAAUUACCUCAAAUUUCUAAGGCCCUCUUGACAAUUGGUUGGAGUAUUUUGUCAAGAAGUCCUGUAACACGGUGUUGCUAGGUGCUCAAUUAAGAAUACUGAAGGUCAACCACCAUUCUCCAACAUUUAAAGACUACUUUUUAUGAGUUUUAUAUUGAACUGGCACCAUUGUACCACUCAUCUAUUGGCUAUAACUAUGCAAUGGUACAUAAAUAAAAAUCCCUGAAAUGUAAGUUAAGCAAUAACACAUGGUGGUGGGUCACAUGGACUUGAAAUUUGGGCAUUGACUCUCAUUCAGAAAAAUGAAGAAAAUCAAAAUAAGUAUAUUUGCAUUUCAUUUCUACUUGAAAUUUGCCUGUUUUUAUG